AGUGAAAGCAGGGUAAGGAGCUCGGAGAACCAAAUUCAGGAACCAUUCCUGGGAAUGGAAGCCAUGGGCCAGACACUUCUUCAAGUUCUCUUUGUCACAUAGCCCUGGAUCAGCUACGGCUCUGUAUAAGGAGUCUCCCCACUGGGCACCUUCAACACUGAAAUCUGUUGCCUUGGGAUGCUGGAGGUGACUCUAGGUUUAUGUCAAGUUGGCUUCUGCAGCUAACUAUGACAGUGCUGAGGACAUAGCCACGUUGAAAGAAGAGUGACCCCGUGUGUCUAGUCUUGCAACCUGAACACCCCAAGCUUCCUUUGGAGUUGGCAACAUGGAGGUCUCCUCCAUGGUACCAGUGCAGAGACCCUUUUCAUGGAGGCUGUAUCACUGAGACCUUGGUGAAUAAACUCUGAUCCCCAACACACUGGACGAGCCAAGUGCUACUGACCUCUGUACUUCCUUUUUAGGUGACUGCCAGCAAGGGGGAUGAGAGAACUAUCAAUAUCAAUACAACAUGGAUGGAAAUCAAACUGCUGAAUAGAAAGACUGGCCCUGAGAGUUCUCAUCUAUAACCUAUGACAGCAGUGGCACACGCCUUUAAUCCCGGCACUUGGGAGUCAGAGGCAG
Cricetulus griseus (Chinese hamster) is the source of this 621-nucleotide non-coding RNA. Lineage: Eukaryota; Metazoa; Chordata; Mammalia; Rodentia; Cricetidae. The record is from RefSeq and is a predicted model, not a curated record.